Molecule: long non-coding RNA, 428 nt
Filed under: Setaria viridis
Lineage: Eukaryota; Viridiplantae; Streptophyta; Magnoliopsida; Poales; Poaceae
Description: long non-coding RNA (SVIR_LNC008533)
Source: RNAcentral
CAACAAAGCAAAAAUGACUGAAACAACCAAGAACACAGUGUCAUAGGCAAAGAACGCAUGCUGGCUCUAGUGAGCGUCUUCCUCCUCGCAGUGCUUGGUGUACUUGGCGGCGUCCAGCAGGCCGUCCGCCUCCCCAGGGCUGCUCGGCUUCACCUUAAUCAUCCACCCGUCCUCGUACGGGCUCGAGUUGAUCUGCAUAUAUAUAAAGGAGCACAUGAUCGCAAUAUCGAUCACAAAGCAUUAUCAUCAGUAACUCAGUAAGUAUGCAGAGAGAGUUUGUCAACAGGAAAUUGAUGAGGAGGUGUGAUCAAUGAUCAUGGCCAGUGCGUGUGGCAACGGCGUACCAGGCCGGGCGUCUCCGAGAGCUUGGAGUUGACCUCGACGACCUCGCCGGAGAUUGGGGAGUUGACGUCGCUGGUGGCCUUCAC